This is a long non-coding RNA of Alligator mississippiensis (American alligator), 505 nucleotides long. RefSeq lists it as uncharacterized. The transcript has 2 exons. The record is from RefSeq and is a predicted model, not a curated record. NCBI's taxonomy places the organism in Eukaryota, Metazoa, Chordata, Crocodylia, Alligatoridae.
GGCAGCAACAUUGCCUGGCCUUAGGGUUGCUGUGUAUGACUGGAGCAGGUACGGGACGUGCUGCAGACACAGGACCAGUCUCCUGCCCCGGAAAAUCGAUUAUUACCUGGGAGUUACGCUCUUGUGAAAGAUUGGAAUGAGGAACCACUUCGAGCCAGAUGGAAGGGCCCAUAUAGAGUACUUUUAACGACCCCGACAGCAGCAAAGCUCGAAGGAAUCAAGACUUGGAUACAUUCCAGUCACCUAAAGCCGGUGGCUGAACCAGAACAAGAAGAAACUCCUGCAAACUCUGGGACCGGAGGCAGAGAACAGUGGAAGGUGGAGCCAAUAAGAGACUUAAAAUUCCUAUUCAAAAGAAAGGAACUUUGAAUAAUUUGUCAAUCUUUGAUCAAGUUUUACAGGCCUUAUUAUGAAAUUUGUUCAAGGUUUUAGUGUGGGGCACCCUGAUCUGUCCACUCCUACUUAUAGGAGGGGAAAAUCUUUUACCACAAGAAUUUGACCCUCA